This is a long non-coding RNA of Ictalurus punctatus (channel catfish), 610 nucleotides long. The record is from Ensembl. Lineage: Eukaryota; Metazoa; Chordata; Actinopteri; Siluriformes; Ictaluridae.
CAACAUUUAAACUUGUGAUUUUCUCACUAGCUGCUGCUUUUACAGCAAAUUAAUCAACAAAUUAAUCAACUCAUUCCCACUGUUCCCAGGAUAGGCUUCGGAUCCACUGCGACCCUGAUCAGGAUAAAGCAGUUGCACACAAGAGGUGUGCUGUUAAUGAUGCCCCUGCCGGGAUGAGGGAGGCCUCGCCGCAUUUUGUCUCCUGAUUAGGAUGCAGCGACGGCUUUUGUCACCAGCUCUGUCAGCCUCUGCAGGGACAAAGCAUUGUUACUGGAGCAUAAUUAGAUCUGCUUCCUCCUGAAGCUGCCACCUGCACUGACCGAGCAGUCAGGGACCAUCUCCCCCCUUUACUGAUGAAAACACUUGUUUCUCAAUAUGAACUAGGAUAAAUUGGAACAUGGUGAUGAGAAAAUUCAUAAUAUUGAUGUAUUUUUAAUGAUCCUGCGACCCAACAAAGACACAGACAUAGACGCUUGAUCACUGGUUUUCAAGCACUAUAGAUUGGAGUGGGUGACAUAUUGCUCAUUUUAUGGCAUCCAACUCUGCGAUAAUUACACAGGAGCGAACCCUUCAACUCAGACUUCAUUUCACAUUUCAGAUGACAGUAGUG